UGGAUCCAGACUUUGAUUAUGGCUCAGGAUGAACGCUAGCUACAGGCCUAACACAUGCAAGUCGAGGGGCAUCGGGAAGGAAGCUUGCUUUCUUUGCCGGCGACCGGCGCACGGGUGAGUAACGCGUAUCGAACCUUCCUCAUACUCGGGAACAGCCUUGCGAAAGUAAGAUUAAUGCCCGAUGUUUCCGCCGGCCCGCAUGGGCGGGCGGGCAAAGCUUGAUUGCGGUAUGAGAUGGCGAUGCGUCCCAUUAGUUGGUUGGCGGGGUAACGGCCCACCAAGACUUCGAUGGGUAGGGGUUCUGAGAGGAAGGCCCCCCACAUUGGAACUGAGACACGGUCCAAACUCCUACGGGAGGCAGCAGUGAGGAAUAUUGGUCAAUGGGCGGAAGCCUGAACCAGCCAAGUAGCGUGCAGGAUGACGGCCCUUGUGGUUGUAAACUGCUUUUAGUCGGGAAUAAAAUGAGGGACACGUCCCUCAUUGCAUGUACCGUCAGAAAAAGGAUCGGCUAAUUCCGUGCCAGCAGCCGCGGUAAUACGGAAGGUCCGGGCGUUAUCCGGAUUUAUUGGGUUUAAGGGAGCGCAGGCGGAAGAUUAAGUCAGCUGUGAAAUACGGUGGCUCAACCAUCGGGCUGCAGUUGAAACUGGUUUUCUUGAGUUCGCACAGGGAUGCCGGAGUUCAUGGUAUAGUGGUGAAAUGCUCAGAUAUCAUGAAGAACUCCGAUCGCGAAGGCAGGCAUCCGGAGCGCGACUGACGCUGAGGCUCGAAAGUGCGGGUAUCAAACAGGAUUAGAUACCCUGGUAGUCCGCACGGUAAACGAUGGAUACCCGCGGUUUGCGAUAUAUUGUAAGCCGCCAAGCGAAAGCGUUAAGUAUCCCACCUGGGGAGUACGCCGGCAACGGUGCAACUCAAAUGAAUUGACGGA
Molecule: ribosomal RNA, 925 nt
Filed under: uncultured Bacteroidota bacterium
Lineage: Bacteria; Pseudomonadati; Bacteroidota
Description: bacterial SSU rRNA
Rfam family: Bacterial small subunit ribosomal RNA
Source: RNAcentral